AUUGAACGCUGGCGGCAUGCUUUACACAUGCAGGUCGAACGGUAACAGGCCGCAAGGUGCUGACGAGUGGCGAACGGGUGAGUAAUGCAUCGGAACGUGCCCAGUCGUGGGGGAUAACGCAGCGAAAGCUGCGCUAAUACCGCAUACGAUCUAUGGAUGAAAGCGGGGGACCGUAAGGCCUCGCGCGAUUGGAGCGGCCGAUGUCAGAUUAGGUAGUUGGUGGGGUAAAGGCUCACCAAGCCAACGAUCUGUAGCUGGUCUGAGAGGACGACCAGCAACACUGGGACUGAGACACGGCCCAGACUCCUACGGGAGGCAGCAGUGGGGAAUUUUGGACAAUGGGCGCAAGCCUGAUCCAGCAAUGCCGCGUGCAGGAAGAAGGCCUUCGGGUUGUAAACUGCUUUUGUACGGAACGAAACGGUUCGGGUUAAUACCCUGAGCUAAUGACGGUACCGUAAGAAUAAGCACCGGCUAACUACGUGCCAGCAGCCGCCGUAA
RNAcentral lists this ribosomal RNA (498 nucleotides) under uncultured bacterium. RNAcentral describes it as "partial 16S ribosomal RNA". It matches the Rfam family "Bacterial small subunit ribosomal RNA", at positions 30 to 523 of the family's 1533-position model. The record is from RNAcentral.